UGACAGCAAGGAUAGCAUCCUCUCGGCCGAUAUUAAGGAUUUAAGGUGCCUGUCUGUCUUUUCCCCUUCUUGCAUGGAGAAGUGGGAAUGGUGGAUGCUGAUUUUUCUCUGCCUUCUCCGUGAAACUCAACCUCCUAGAAGUCAGGCUGGUUCUUGAGCACUUUUUCAAUUCAAUCAGGUGUUAGAGUGUUCACAGUCGUCUUCCUUUUGGGCCAUGUUUCUGGUUAUCCUUCCUUCCUUUUACCACCAAAAUGCUUGUAUUUGAUUUUUUUUUUUUUUUUUUUUUUUUUUUUCCUCCAGGCAGCCUGAUGCAGAAAGGGUGCUGGCUUGCUUUUAUCACAUCAAAGCCUGAUAACAGCAAUUCUGUGCUUACCAACCUCCCUCAUGAGCGUAUACAGCAUCCACAGAUGCCUUUGAAGACUUCUGCUGAGGGUACUCAUCCCCACUAGGUCAUUUCAAAAGGCAGCUUCUCUGAAAAAGUUGCAGGCUUCUGAAAGUAAAAUCAUGGACCAUGUCCUAGUUCUCUAAUCCUGCAAGGAGAUAACAGAGUUUUUGGAGUAUUUAAAAGGGUACUCCCUGGAUUCCAUGCACCAUCAGUACACUGGUGUCCUGUGGUUCCUGUGUCCAACAGUCCCACAAUGGAGGAAAUGGGCAAAAGUGAUGGAAUCAGUGAGCUGAAACAUCUGCACAUCACCAGCAGCUGCCACUGCCCUCAAGGAAAUCUUCCAGAGAAGUCCUUUGAAGGCAAAUUGCUUACCCAAAAAAGCACUUGGAUAAGUGAAGGAUACAGGAGAGUAGAAGAGAGAUCCCAAGAUAUCUUAUGGCCUGCAGAGGACAGUGGUUAUUUACAAGUAUCUCUAGAGCAGGCAAAGACAACCCAAAAGGUUUUUACUGAGAGAAAGAGUUUCCUCUCUAUUUCUUUUCCACCUCUGUCAAUGCUGGGAAUGUCAGGAUAG
Molecule: long non-coding RNA, 956 nt
Filed under: Apteryx rowi (Okarito brown kiwi)
Lineage: Eukaryota; Metazoa; Chordata; Aves; Apterygiformes; Apterygidae
Description: lncRNA (ENSARWG00000017834.1)
Source: RNAcentral